Molecule: transfer RNA, 78 nt
Organism: Sphaerobolus stellatus SS14
Lineage: Eukaryota; Fungi; Basidiomycota; Agaricomycetes; Geastrales; Sphaerobolaceae
Rfam family: tRNA
About the family: Transfer RNA (tRNA) molecules are approximately 80 nucleotides in length. Their secondary structure includes four short double-helical elements and three loops (D, anti-codon, and T loops). Further hydrogen bonds mediate the characteristic L-shaped molecular structure. tRNAs have two regions of fundamental functional importance: the anti-codon, which is responsible for specific mRNA codon recognition, and the 3' end, to which the tRNAs corresponding amino acid is attached (by aminoacyl-tRNA synthetases). tRNAs cope with the degeneracy of the genetic code in two manners: having more than one tRNA (with a specific anti-codon) for a particular amino acid; and 'wobble' base-pairing, i.e. permitting non-standard base-pairing at the 3rd anti-codon position.
Source: Rfam
GCCUGCUUAGCACAGUGGUAGUGCGUGUCACUUGUAAAGGUCAUGACAAGGUCGGUUGUUCAAUCCAGCCAGUGGGCA